GACAUCCUGAUGUGUACGUUAGCUUUUACUAUCUGUUUUGACCGAACACUAUAUGUGAAGGGAGCCCGUGUCUGCAAGCUGCGUACAUGCCUCUGGUAAGAGGACUUACAAGGCAAGCAGCAGGGUACCCACCUGCGGAGAGCGGGUUCAAAACACAUAGCUUCUAAGACGGCACGAUCGGGAGAAGC
RNAcentral lists this non-coding RNA (188 nucleotides) under Bacillus thermotolerans. Its description in RNAcentral is "Quasibacillus thermotolerans 6S / SsrS RNA". It matches the Rfam family "6S / SsrS RNA". From Rfam's summary of the family: E. coli 6S RNA was the first non coding RNA to be sequenced, but its function was unknown until recently. It consists of 184 nucleotides that fold into an extended hairpin structure with a large single-stranded internal bulge. The 6S RNA specifically associates with RNA polymerase holoenzyme containing the sigma70 specificity factor. The record is from Rfam by way of RNAcentral. Lineage: Bacteria; Bacillati; Bacillota; Bacilli; Caryophanales; Bacillaceae.